RNAcentral lists this ribosomal RNA (301 nucleotides) under uncultured bacterium. RNAcentral describes it as "partial 16S ribosomal RNA". It matches the Rfam family "Bacterial small subunit ribosomal RNA", at positions 509 to 807 of the family's 1533-position model. The record is from RNAcentral.
CAGUAGCCGCGGUAAUACGUAAGGUGCAAGCGUUAAUCGGAAUUACUGGGCGUAAAGCGUGCGCAGGCGGUGUUGUAAGACUGAUGUGAAAUCCCCGGGCUCAACCUGGGAACUGCAUUGGUGACUGCAACGCUGGAGUGCGGCAGAGGGGGAUGGAAUUCCGCGUGUAGCAGUGAAAUGCGUAGAUAUGCGGAGGAACACCGAUGGCGAAGGCAAUCCCCUGGGCCUGCACUGACGCUCAUGCACGAAAGCGUGGGGAGCAAACAGGAUUAGAUACCCCCGUAGUCCCUGUCUCUUAUAC